RNAcentral lists this transfer RNA (74 nucleotides) under Thermoprotei archaeon. RNAcentral describes it as "tRNA-Pro". It matches the Rfam family "tRNA". Rfam says of the family: Transfer RNA (tRNA) molecules are approximately 80 nucleotides in length. Their secondary structure includes four short double-helical elements and three loops (D, anti-codon, and T loops). The record is from RNAcentral. RNAcentral also lists the same sequence under 1 other name. Lineage: Archaea; Thermoproteati; Thermoproteota; Thermoprotei.
GGGGCCGUAGUCUAGCCUGGUAUGAUGCGCGGCUCGGGCCCGCGUGGUCCCGGGUUCAAAUCCCGGCGGCCCCA